This 848-nucleotide ribosomal RNA is filed under the name uncultured marine group I thaumarchaeote. Its description in RNAcentral is "SSU rRNA". It matches the Rfam family "Archaeal small subunit ribosomal RNA", at positions 25 to 879 of the family's 1478-position model. Lineage: Archaea; Thermoproteati; Nitrososphaerota. The record is from RNAcentral.
GACUGCUAUCGGAUUGAUACUAAGCCAUGCGAGUCUUUGUAGUAAUACAAGGCAGACGGCUCAGUAACACGUAGUCAACCUACCCUAUGGACAAGAAUAAUCUCGGGAAACUGGGCAUAAUUCUUGAUAGAUCAUAAUGCCUGGAAUGGUUUAUGGUUAAAAUGAUUCGUCGCCAUAGGAUGGGACUGCGGCCUAUCAGCUUGUUGGUGAGGUAAUGGCCCACCAAGGCGAUUACAGGUACGGGCUCUGAGAGGAGAAGCCCGGAGAUGGGUACUGAGACACGGACCCAGGCCCUAUGGGGCGCAGCAGGCGAGAAAACUUUGCAAUGUGCGAAAGCACGACAAGGUUAAUCCGAGUGAUUUCUGCUAAAGAAAUCUUUUGCCAGUCAUAAAACCACUGGUGAAUAAGGGGUGGGCAAGUUCUGGUGUCAGCCGCCGCGGUAAAACCAGCACCUCAAGUGGUCAGGAUGAUUAUUGGGCCUAAAGCAUCCGUAGCCGGCUUUGUUAGUUUUCGGUUAAAUCCAUGUGCUCAACGCAUGGGCUGCCGAAAAUACUGCAUAGCUAGGGAGUGGGAGAGGUAGACGGUACUCAGUAGGAAGGGGUAAAAUCCUUUGAUCUAUUGAUGACCACCUGUGGCGAAGGCGGUCUACCAGAACACGUUCGACGGUGAGGGAUGAAAGCUGGGGGAGCAAACCGGAUUAGAUACCCGGGUAGUCCCAGCUGUAAACGAUGCAGACUCGAUGAUGCAUUGGCAUAAUAGCCAGUGCAGUGUCGCAGGGAAGCCGUUAAGUCUGCCGCCUGGGAAGUACGUACGCAAGUAUGAAACUUAAAGGAUUGGCGGGGGAGCAC